Molecule: ribosomal RNA, 506 nt
Filed under: uncultured Glomeromycotina
Lineage: Eukaryota; Fungi; Glomeromycota
Description: partial small subunit ribosomal RNA
Rfam family: Eukaryotic small subunit ribosomal RNA
Source: RNAcentral
CCAAUAGCGUAUAUUAAAGUUAUUGCAGUUAAAAAGCUCGUAGUUGAAUUUCGGGAUUGACUCGAUGGUCGUGCCUUAAGGGGUAUGAACUGUCGCUGUUGAUUUCUCACCUUCUGGAGAAGCUCGAUGUCCUUAAUUGGAUGUCUUGUGGAACCAGGACCUUUACCUUGAAAAAAUUAGAGUGUUUAAAGCAGGCAUUUUGCUCGAAUACAUUAGCAUGGAAUAAUAGAAUAGGACGGCAUGGUUCUAUUUUGUUGGUUUCUAGGAUCACCGUAAUGAUUAAUAGGGAUAGUUGGGGGCAUUAGUAUUCAAUUGUCAGAGGUGAAAUUCUUGGAUUUAUUGAAGACUAACUACUGCGAAAGCAUUUGCCAAGGAUGUUUUCAUUAAUCAAGAACGAAAGUUAGGGGAUCGAAGACGAUCAGAUACCGUCGUAGUCUUAACCAUAAACUAUGCCGACUAGGAAUCAGACGAUGUUAAUUUUUUAAUGACUCGUUUGGCACCUUACG